AGCUCUUUCUUGAUUCGGUGGGUGGUGGUGCAUGGCCGUUCUUAGUUGGUGGAGCGAUUUGUCUGGUUAAUUCCGAUAACGAACGAGACUCUAGCCUGCUAAAUAGGUGGCGGGUUUAAAAAUUUUUGGGGGGCGGUCGAGUGCGGGAUCAGGUCGUCUGGUGGGCGGUGGUGCCGGCCGUGGCUGUCGUCCGAGGUCCUUCGGGGUCGGAGGCGGCGGCGGCGGUCUGCGUCUCCGUCCGCCGGGCGUCCCCUGUACGAGGCUCCCCCCGCGUCCGUCACAGCUCUUCUUAGAGGGACAAGCGGCGUUUAGCCGCGUGACAGUGAGCAAUAACAGGUCUGUGAUGCCCUUAGAUGUCCUGGGCCGCACGCGCGCUACACUGAAGGAAUCAGCGUGUUUUUCUCCCCCUGUCCGAAAGGACCGGGUAACCGCUGAACCUCCUUCGUG
RNAcentral lists this ribosomal RNA (447 nucleotides) under Holopedium glacialis. RNAcentral's name for it is "bacterial SSU rRNA". It matches the Rfam family "Eukaryotic small subunit ribosomal RNA", at positions 1253 to 1569 of the family's 1831-position model. The record is from RNAcentral. Lineage: Eukaryota; Metazoa; Arthropoda; Branchiopoda; Diplostraca; Holopediidae.